CUUGCAUCCCCAGUUUUAUUGUCCAUUCCUGGAAAAUGCAAGCUGUGACUGACGUUUUUACAUCUUAAAUCCCUCUCCCAGAGCAAAGCAAAUUGCUUCAACCCCAAAAUACAGGCACAGGAACCCUAGAGAUGUGCGAAAUGCAGAAAUGAUAAUGCCUCACAAGCUGGUUGUACAGAUUGAAUAACAAUGUGAACAGAGCACCGAGUAUAAUCCCUGAAACAGCAAACCAGAGGU
RNAcentral lists this long non-coding RNA (237 nucleotides) under Homo sapiens (human). RNAcentral describes it as "downregulated RNA in cancer, inhibitor of cell invasion and migration". Lineage: Eukaryota; Metazoa; Chordata; Mammalia; Primates; Hominidae. The record is from RNAcentral.